UACGGAGGAUGCGAACGUUAUCCGGAUUUAUUGGGUUUAAAGGGUGCGCAGGCGGCACGGCAAGCCGGCGGUCAAAUCGCGGGGCUCAACCCCGCCCAGCCGUCGGAACUGCCGGGCUAGAGUGGGCGAGAAGUGCGCGGAAUGCGUGGUGUAGCGGUGAAAUGCAUAGAUAUCACGCAGAACUCCGAUUGCGAAGGCAGCGCACCGGCGCCCUACUGACGCUCAGGCACGAAAGCGUGGGUAUCGAACAGG
This 252-nucleotide ribosomal RNA is filed under the name uncultured bacterium. Its description in RNAcentral is "partial 16S ribosomal RNA". It matches the Rfam family "Bacterial small subunit ribosomal RNA", at positions 524 to 776 of the family's 1533-position model. The record is from RNAcentral.